AGUGAAGCGGCAACAGCUCAAAUUUGAAAUCUGGCCCUCGUGGUCCGAGUUGUAAUUUGUAGAGGAUGCUUUUGGUACGGUACCUUCCGAGUUCCCUGGAACGGGACGCCAUAGAGGGUGAGAGCCCCGUCUGGUCGGAUACCAAUCCUCUGUAAAGCUCCUUCGACGAGUCGAGUAGUUUGGGAAUGCUGCUCAAAAUGGGAGGUAUAUGUCUUCUAAAGCUAAAUAUUGGCCAGAGACCGAUAGCGCACAAGUAGAGUGAUCGAAAGAUGAAAAGCACUUUGAAAAGAGGGUUAAAUAGUACGUGAAAUUGUUGAAAGGGAAGCGUUUGUGACCAGACUUGGGCCCGGUUAAUCAUCCGGCGUUCUCGCCGGUGCACUUUGCCGGCCCAGGCCAGCAUCAGUUCGCUGCGGGGGAAAAAGGCAGCGGGAAUGUGGCUCCUCGGAGUGUUAUAGCCCGCUGUGCAAUACCCUGUGGUGGACUGAGGUUCGCGCAUCUGCAAGGAUGCUGGCGUAAUGGUCAUCAACGACCCGUCUUGAAACACGGACCAAGGAGUCGUCUUCGUAUGCGAGUGUUCGGGUGUCAAACCCCUACGCGUAAUGAAAGUGAACGGAGGUGGGAGCCUCGGCGCACCAUCGACCGAUCCUGAUGUUUUCGGAUGGAUUUGAGUAAGAGCAUACGGGGCCGGACCCGAAAGAAGGUGAACUAUGCCUGUAUAGGGUGAAGCCAGAGGAAACUCUGGUGGAGGCUCGCAGCGGUUCUGACGUGCAAAUCGAUCGUCAAAUAUGGGCAUGGGGGCGAAAGACUA
This 808-nucleotide ribosomal RNA is filed under the name Thyronectria lamyi. RNAcentral describes it as "eukaryotic LSU rRNA". It matches the Rfam family "Eukaryotic large subunit ribosomal RNA", at positions 92 to 933 of the family's 3401-position model. Lineage: Eukaryota; Fungi; Ascomycota; Sordariomycetes; Hypocreales; Nectriaceae. The record is from RNAcentral.